This 795-nucleotide ribosomal RNA is filed under the name uncultured bacterium. RNAcentral's name for it is "bacterial SSU rRNA". It matches the Rfam family "Bacterial small subunit ribosomal RNA", at positions 71 to 865 of the family's 1533-position model. The record is from RNAcentral.
ACAGCACUUCGGUGGCUGACGAGUGGCGAACGGGUGAGUAAUACAUCGGAACGUGCCCGAGAGUGGGGGAUAACGCAGCGAAAGCUGUGCUAAUACCGCAUACGAUCUACGGAUGAAAGCAGGGGACCGCAAGGCCUUGCGCUCAUGGAGCGGCCGAUGGCAGAUUAGGUAGUUGGUGGGAUAAAAGCUUACCAAGCCGACGAUCUGUAGCUGGUCUGAGAGGACGACCAGCCACACUGGGACUGAGACACGGCCCAGACUCCCACGGGAGGCAGCAGUGGGGAAUUUUGGACAAUGGGCGAAAGCCUGAUCCAGCCAUGCCGUGUGCAGGAUGAAGGCCUUCGGGUUGUAAACUGCUUUUGUACGGAACGAAAAGGUCUUUUCUAAUAAAGAAGGCUCAUGACGGUACCGUAAGAAUAAGCACCGGCUAACUACGUGCCAGCAGCCGCGGUAAUACGUAGGGUGCAAGCGUUAAUCGGAAUUACUGGGCGUAAAGCGUGCGCAGGCGGUUAUAUAAGACAGAUGUGAAAUCCCCGGGCUCAACCUGGGAACUGCAUUAGUGACUGUAUAGCUAGAGUGCGGCAGAGGGGGAUGGAAUUCCGCGUGUAGCAGUGAAAUGCGUAGAUAUGCGGAGGAACACCGAUGGCGAAGGCAAUCCCCUGGGCCUGUACUGACGCUCAUGCACGAAAGCGUGGGGAGCAAACAGGAUUAGAUACCCUGGUAGUCCACGCCCUAAACGAUGUCAACUGGUUGUUGGGUCUUCACUGACUCAGUAACGAAGCUAACGCGUGAAGU